RNAcentral lists this ribosomal RNA (395 nucleotides) under Thaumatomonadida sp. RNAcentral describes it as "partial small subunit ribosomal RNA". It matches the Rfam family "Eukaryotic small subunit ribosomal RNA", at positions 582 to 975 of the family's 1831-position model. Lineage: Eukaryota; Cercozoa; Imbricatea; Thaumatomonadida. The record is from RNAcentral.
AUUCCAGCUCCAAUAGCGUAUAUUAAAGUUGUUGCAGUUAAAAAGCUCGUAGUUGGAUUUCUGGUGUGGGGUGCUUGACCCGCCGCGGUUACGCGUGUGAGUGUCGGUGUGCUCUGCCCAUCCUUCUAGAAAUUGGCUCUGCCCUUCAUUGGGUUGGGGUCAGGAUCUAGAUCUUUUACUUUGAAAAAAUUGGAGUGUUUAAAGCAAGCGUUGCGUGAAUACAUUAGCAUGGAAUAAUAACUUAGGACUUUGGUUCUAUUUUGUUGGUUUCUAGGACCGAAGUAAUGAUUGAUAGGGAUAGUUGGGGGUGCUAGUAUUCAGCGGCCAGAGGUGAAAUUCUUGGAUUCGCUGAAGACUAACUUAUGCGAAAGCAUUCACCAAGGAUGUCUUCAUUA